RNAcentral lists this ribosomal RNA (497 nucleotides) under uncultured bacterium. RNAcentral describes it as "partial 16S ribosomal RNA". It matches the Rfam family "Bacterial small subunit ribosomal RNA", at positions 28 to 507 of the family's 1533-position model. The record is from RNAcentral.
GACGAACGCUGGCGGCGUGCCUAAUACAUGCAAGUUGAGCGCUGAAGGUUGGUACUUGUACCAACUGGAUGAGCAGCGAACGGGUGAGUAACGCGUGGGGAAUCUGCCUUUGAGCGGGGGACAACAUUUGGAAACGAAUGCUAAUACCGCAUAAAAACUUUAAACACAAGUUGUAAGUUUGAAAGAUGCAAUUGCAUCACUCAAAGAUGAUCCCGCGUUGUAUUAGCUAGUUGGUGAGGUAAAGGCUCACCAAGGCGAUGAUACAUAGCCGACCUGAGAGGGUGAUCUGCCACAUUGGGACUGAGACACGGCCCAAACUCCUACGGGAGGCAGCAGUAGGGAAUCUUCGGCAAUGGACGAAAGUCUGACCGAGCAACGCCGCGUGAGUGAAGAAGGUUUUCGGAUCGUAAAACUCUGUUGGUAGAGAAGAACGUUGGUGAGAGUGGAAAGCUCAUCAAGUGACGGUAACUACCCAGAAAGGGACGGCUAACUACGUG